Long non-coding RNA from Pezoporus flaviventris, 525 nucleotides. RefSeq lists it as uncharacterized. NCBI's taxonomy places the organism in Eukaryota, Metazoa, Chordata, Aves, Psittaciformes, Psittacidae. The record is from RefSeq and is a predicted model, not a curated record. The transcript is spliced from 2 exons.
UUCCUGAGUGGAAGAGACACACUAUAGAAGCGACUACAAAUUCCGCGGACUGGGAGCGAAGACGGCAAGGAUCCUAACUAGUUAUUUCUCACUAGGACAGGCUAAGCAUGGCCUCAGAGGAGGAGGCAGGUAGUUUCCGUCACGGCUGUUAAGGGGAGCUUCCUUAGUGAGGAAGUCGGCCGGCUGGCAGGGGGCCGGCAACUCCCGGUGGUCACCAGAGCUCUCCCCGUCCUGCCGCUCUCCGGCCCCAGCCUGAUCCUGCGCUCCCCCCGCCCCGCCCGGACAACCCAGGGCUCCGGGCGGCAGCGUGCCUUCCGGAUGCCGGAUUUCAUCCCCAGCAUGUUCCCAGGUUCUGCCUUCGCGUGCUCUAGGGGGGAACUUCCCGCACUGUUUUCCUGAGAUCACACCGGCUUGAAGAAACUUCGGCUCCUUUACCUAGAUAGUUGCUGCGUGUGUCCUACUUUGUCGUGGGAGGAACAAAACCCUUCUGUAGGCAGCGAAGAUAAAACAAAACAAAAAACAAAA